AAGUUUGAUCCUGGCUCAGGACGAACGCUGGCGGCGUGCCUAACACAUGCAAGUGGAGCGACGAACCAGGGCUUGCCCUGGGGCAGAGCCGCGAACGGGUGAGUAACACGUGGGUCACCUGCCUUGAUGACCGGGACAACCCGAGGAAACUCGGGCUAAUACCGGAUGUGCCCGCAAGGGGAAAGGAAGCUUUGGCCUCC
RNAcentral lists this ribosomal RNA (200 nucleotides) under uncultured bacterium. RNAcentral describes it as "partial 16S ribosomal RNA". It matches the Rfam family "Bacterial small subunit ribosomal RNA", at positions 9 to 216 of the family's 1533-position model. The record is from RNAcentral.